CUAACACAUGCAAGUCGAACGGUAACAGGAAGAAGCUUGCUUCUUUGCUGACGAGUGGCGGACGGGUGAGUAAUGUCUGGGAAACUGCCUGAUGGAGGGGGAUAACUACUGGAAACGGUAGCUAAUACCGCAUAACGUCGCAAGACCAAAAAGGGGGACCUUCGGGCCUCUUGCCAUCGGAUGUGCCCAGAUGGGAUUAGCUAGUAGGUGGGGUAACGGCUCACCUAGGCGACGAUCCCUAGCUGGUCUGAGAGGAUGACCAGCCACACUGGAACUGAGACACGGUCCAGACUCCUACGGGAGGCAGCAGUGGGGAAUAUUGCACAAUGGGCGCAAGCCUGAUGCAGCCAUGCCGCGUGUAUGAAGAAGGCCUUCGGGUUGUAAAGUACUUUCAGCGGGGAGGAAGGGAGUAAAGUUAAUACCUUUGCUCAUUGACGUUACCCGCAGAAGAAGCACCGGCUAACUCCGUGCCAGCAGCCGCGGUAAUACGGAGGGUGCAAGCGUUAAUCGGAAUUACUGGGCGUAAAGCGCACGCAGGCGGUUUGUUAAGUCAGAUGUGAAAUCCCCGGGCUCAACCUGGGAACUGCAUCUGAUACUGGCAAGCUUGAGUCUCGUAGAGGGGGGUAGAAUUCCAGGUGUAGCGGUGAAAUGCGUAGAGAUCUGGAGGAAUACCGGUGGCGAAGGCGGCCCCCUGGACGAAGACUGACGCUC
This 711-nucleotide ribosomal RNA is filed under the name uncultured Pseudomonadota bacterium. RNAcentral's name for it is "bacterial SSU rRNA". It matches the Rfam family "Bacterial small subunit ribosomal RNA", at positions 48 to 748 of the family's 1533-position model. Lineage: Bacteria; Pseudomonadati; Pseudomonadota. The record is from RNAcentral.